UUUGUGACCAAACUUGUUGCUUCGGGGGCGACCCUGCCGACGACUUCGUCGCCGGGCGCCCCCGGAGGUCUUCUAAACACUGCAUCUUUGCGUCGGAGUUUAAACAAAUUAAACAAAACUUUCAACAACGGAUCUCUUGGUUCUGGCAUCGAUGAAGAACGCAGCGAAAUGCGAUAAGUAAUGUGAAUUGCAGAAUUCAGUGAAUCAUCGAAUCUUUGAACGCACAUUGCGCCCUUUGGUAUUCCGAAGGGCAUGCCUGUUCGAGCGUCAUUUCACCACUCAAGCCUGGCUUGGUAUUGGGCGUCGCGGUGUUCCGCGCGCCUUAAAGUCUUCCGGCUGAGCUGUCCGUCUCUAAGCGUUGUGGAUUUUUCAAUUCGCUUCGGAGUGCGGGUGGCCGCGGCCGUUAAAUCUUUAUUCAAAGGUUGACCUCGGAUCAGGUAGGGAUA
RNAcentral lists this ribosomal RNA (446 nucleotides) under Pseudocercospora prunicola. Its description in RNAcentral is "eukaryotic LSU rRNA". The stretch from base 117 to 270 matches the Rfam family "5.8S ribosomal RNA". Lineage: Eukaryota; Fungi; Ascomycota; Dothideomycetes; Mycosphaerellales; Mycosphaerellaceae. The record is from RNAcentral.